Malus domestica (apple) is the source of this 249-nucleotide non-coding RNA. NCBI's taxonomy places the organism in Eukaryota, Viridiplantae, Streptophyta, Magnoliopsida, Rosales, Rosaceae. The record is from RefSeq and is a predicted model, not a curated record.
UCAACCUUACAAGUUUCUGCCUUUUUUGAGUCGGUCGGAAUCCAAUUUCUUGCUCACAUAACCUAGCGUUUCCUGGAAAGGCUGGGGUUCGAAUUAUGGGGUUUUUGCAUACAAGAUUGGAAGCCCUUUCUUAUCAAGUUAACGGAAACCUACUGCUUGGAUUUGGCUCUCCCUCGCAUUGAACACAUAACUAUUGAAACAUAACUAGAUGCCAAUUCCUUUCUUCAGUUGGAAGAAAAUGGAAAACCC